GUUUUUGUAAGUGAACAACAUAUAAUCAAAUCAGAAUCUCUUAAGAAUUUAUACAAAAUGCAUUUUUAGUACAACUCCUUACCGAAGUGGCUAUUACAUUCCAGAAAAGUUGCUUUACAAUCGCGCCAGCACUGCCCCUCUACGCAGAAACGUUUGCAAACCGACAGCUUACUGCGAAUGCCUUGGUCUACUUUCUCCCAGCUGUUCUGCACAUCUGGCCACAGCUGGUUUAUUUCAGAAUGGACCUGUGUAGGGGAGGAUCUGCAGCCUCCUCUCUCUCUUCUAUUGGCUCAUCCUUAUGGGACUCUCUGGGCUUGCUGGCAUUUCAUUGGCCUGGCUUGCCCCCUUCCCCGUGAGCUAAUUGGAGGAGCGGGAUGGAGGGGACGGAAUCCCCUUUGGUUUAUUGGGAAGGGGGAGCGGAGUUAUGCCCGGUCACCUGCGGCUCGGGCAGCUGUGGUGCCUCCGGCGCCUCACCCCCACCUCUCGCUGCUGCUGGGGGGAGCCGGAGCUCGAGCUGGAGCUGCCGGGCCCGCCGCUGUCAGGGGAAAUGGCCAAAGACAAGCGACACACACAAAGAACAUGGCGAGGGAAGGAGGAGUCUGAGCCGACGGCAGCUGCGCUCCCCCGCCCGAAGGACGCUCCGGGGAGGGAGGACAAUGCCCAGCCCACUCUGGCCCAGCUGCCGCCCGGCUCCCGGGGGAGGGGGCUGUUUUCCCAGGGCUGGGCGCCCCUGGUGUUUCCGCCUGCCCCACGCUGUAACAAACUACGCGCAAGUGCUACUGAACAGGACGCAGCUGGAGUGAGAUCUGCAGCGACUGUUCCUCCAGAAGUACUGAAGAUAGGAUCCAACUGCCGAGUGUGCAACUUCAGGAAUAAUCUUUUUCCCCACUCCAAACUACUAGCCACAGCAACUUGCUAUUUCACAUUACCAUAUGAAAAUCGCAUCCACUUCAUUGUGGAUACUUCUGUCACAGAUCAUAGAUGCAGAGAAUCUUCUCCUAAUGGCCAAGCAGUGUGGUGUUCCCUGGUUGAGUGUGCAUCUUACAUAAAUUAUAAAGGAAGCUGAAAUAGGAAGAAUUGGGCCCAACAACAAGCAAGUUGAAGACCCAUUGCAGAGGAGCCAAUUUUUUUUUUAGCUAACGAUGGAGGCAGAAAACUAUG
This 1161-nucleotide long non-coding RNA is filed under the name Gopherus agassizii (Agassiz's desert tortoise). Its description in RNAcentral is "lncRNA (ENSGAGG00000001170.1)". The record is from RNAcentral. Lineage: Eukaryota; Metazoa; Chordata; Testudines; Testudinidae.